GGGUGAUUAGCUCAGCUGGGAGAGCACCUCCCUUACAAGGAGGGGGUGUAGAGCAGUUGACUUUUAAUCAAUUGGUCGCAGGUUCGAAUCCUGCACGACCCACCA
RNAcentral lists this transfer RNA (105 nucleotides) under Escherichia coli. Its description in RNAcentral is "tRNA-Val". It matches the Rfam family "tRNA". Rfam says of the family: Transfer RNA (tRNA) molecules are approximately 80 nucleotides in length. Their secondary structure includes four short double-helical elements and three loops (D, anti-codon, and T loops). Lineage: Bacteria; Pseudomonadati; Pseudomonadota; Gammaproteobacteria; Enterobacterales; Enterobacteriaceae. The record is from RNAcentral.